This 340-nucleotide ribosomal RNA is filed under the name uncultured soil bacterium. RNAcentral describes it as "bacterial SSU rRNA". It matches the Rfam family "Bacterial small subunit ribosomal RNA", at positions 26 to 346 of the family's 1533-position model. The record is from RNAcentral.
AGAUUGAACGCUGGCGGCAUGCCUUACACAUGCAAGGUCGAACGGCAGCACGGGAGCCAAUCCUGGUGGCGAGUGGCGAACGGGGUGAGUAAUACAUCGGAACGUGCCCAAUCGUGGGGGAUAACGCAGCGAAAGCUGUGCUAAUACCGCAUAAGAUCUACGGAUGAAAGCAGGGGAUCGCAAGACCUUGCGCGAAUGGAGCGGCCGAUGGCAGAUUAGGUAGUUGGUAGAGGGUAAAGGCUACGACCGAAGUCCGUUCGAUUCGUAGUAGGCUUGGUCUGGAGAGGGACGACCAGCCGAACUACGUGGGGACUGACGACGACCGGCCAGACUCACGGGA